Molecule: unclassified non-coding RNA, 144 nt
Filed under: uncultured Ascomycota
Lineage: Eukaryota; Fungi; Ascomycota
Description: sequence contains ITS2
Source: RNAcentral
CAACCCUCAAGCCUAGCUUGGUGUUGGGCCCCGCCGCGUGGCGGGCCCUAAAGUCAGUGGCGGUGCCGUCCGGCCCCGAGCGCAGUAACUCUUCUCGCUCUGGAGGCCUGGGCGCGUGCCUGCCAGCAACCCCCAAUUUCUUCA